This 510-nucleotide ribosomal RNA is filed under the name uncultured bacterium. RNAcentral describes it as "bacterial SSU rRNA". It matches the Rfam family "Bacterial small subunit ribosomal RNA", at positions 791 to 1304 of the family's 1533-position model. The record is from RNAcentral.
UAGUCCACGCCGUAAACGGUGGGCACUAGAUGUGGGGACUUUCAACGGUCUCUGCGUCGUAGCUAACGCAUUAAGUGCCCCGCCUGGGGAGUACGGCCGCAAGGCUAAAACUCAAAGGAAUUGACGGGGGCCCGCACAAGCGGCGGAGCAUGUUGCUUAAUUCGAGGCAACGCGAAGAACCUUACCUGGGUUUGACAUGUACGGAAAAGCUGCAGAGAUGUAGUGUCCUUCGGGGCCGUACACAGGUGGUGCAUGGUUGUCGUCAGCUCGUGUCGUGAGAUGUUGGGUUAAGUCCCGCAACGAGCGCAACCCUCGUCCUAUGUUGCCAGCAUUUAGUUGGGCACUCUAGAGAAACUGCCGGUGACAAACCGGAGGAAGGUAAGGAUGACGUCAAGUCAGCAUGCCCCUUACGCUCUGGGCUACACACGUGCUACAAUGGUCGUGACAAAGAGUUGCUAGUCUGCGAAGGCAAGCCAAUCUCAUAAACGCGGCCUUAGUUCGGAUUGCAGG